This is a long non-coding RNA of Cydia pomonella (codling moth), 4252 nucleotides long. RefSeq lists it as uncharacterized. The transcript has 2 exons. The record is from RefSeq and is a predicted model, not a curated record. NCBI's taxonomy places the organism in Eukaryota, Metazoa, Arthropoda, Insecta, Lepidoptera, Tortricidae.
GAAAUUGAUGAUGAUAUGUAUUUUGAGAACUAGCAUAAGUGGUGUCUGAAUGUACAGAAGACGGCCUUUGGUCGCUGCGAUUAGACGAAGAAGAAUGGUAUGCAGUACUUUGUCUAAGUUCUUUAAUCCCAUAAUCGGUACCGCAGACCAAUGAAGAAUGGAAAGAAAUAGAAACAGGUUUCAGAACUAGGUGGAAUUUCCCUGGUUGCCAUGGCGCUAUAGACGGGAAGCAUGUGAUAAUUCUAGCACCACCGAAUUGUGGAAGUGAAUAUUUUAAUUACAAGGGUACCAACAGUGUGGUUUUGAUGGCUGUGGUUGAUCAUGACUAUUGUUUUCGCUAUGUAAAUAUUGGAGCAAACGGAAGAAACUCGGAUGGGGGGAUUUUUAAAAACAGCCAAUUACGUAGUGAUCUUGAGAAGUUACGUGUUGAAGCCGGGGGAUGAUAAUGAAACGACAGUGACCAAUUUACGUUAUAUUCUAAAUACACAGACGGAAACUAAAUGCUAAUAAUCCUAUAACUAAAUUAAAAUUAGGUGUUGGACGCCAAGAGGAGUUUUAACCGUGGAGGUUCGGGAAUCCUGCUAUUCCAAAAAUACGCCGGCUAGCAUGAUAACUAGGUUUAUCUAAGCUCGUGGUUGUAUAUUAGACCAAAGCUUGAAGGGCAUGUCCACAGGCUAAAACAAAGGAUUUACUUUAACUAUGCCAGUCCCCUUUUAGCAGCGUUAUGUUUGCUUAGCCACUAGCACUUACCCCUUCGUUGUAAUGUCACCCACAAAACAAAACAAUAAAUAAUGUCCAUAAUAAACAUAAAACUCAGUUAACAAACUGUGAUUGCAUUUUGCAAUCUAAUUCAACAUUUGCACUUUCAACGUCUAUGGCGGGUACAUUGUUCACACACCAAACGUAUUUAUCUUUCAAAGACAUGAGCUGGAAUGACUUGCCGAACUCAAUGCAUUAUUAUAAAUAAGAAAAAUAUCCUUAAAAAUGUAGAAAAAGAUGAUGCGCCACCGGGGUUAGAACCCCCGCCCAUAUGAUUGCUACUCCGACGUUGUACCGCCGAGCCAUCAAUGCUAUAAGUUAGACGUGCGAAUUUGUUGAAUACUACGCUCGGCCGAAUCACGCAAUCCAUGCAAAUAUAAACUCUAUUACUUUCUGAAUAUAACUCAACUCACAAUGACCCAGUGAAACGUGCCUUACGAUAACAUAACAUAUUCCUCCUCCCUCAACAAAAAAAAAACAAAAACUUUUUUUUUUUUAAUGUAUAGGCUUGAGAUCUUUAACAUGCCAAUUACCUAUACAUUUGCCGUAUACAUUGUUUAGACGCAUUAUAGUCUCUGACAGCUUGUCUACUAUUAUAGCCCUAUCGUACUUAGGAGCUAGUUUUGCCAUGAACUUAUUCGGAGCGUUUGACAAACAUUUAGCCCUUUUGUAUACCAUCUCCCCUAUCUUAAAAGUAUGAGUUCUACGUUUUUUGUUAUAAACCUGCCGACUGUUUUCAUGUGCCUGCCGCAACCUUCGUCGAACAGAUUCAUAGAUUUCCUCCCGUUGCUGGAGAUUCUCUAUAUACGGCGAUACAUUUAUCGGGUAAUCAUUAUCCUUAUUUUGUAAAAACUGCACUGAAUUUGGCCGAUCUACAUUCGGUACACGGGUCUCUCUGCCCAAAAACAAGUACGAAGGAGUGUGUCGUGUCGUUUCAUGUACUGCAGUUCUUAUAGCAUUACCAAUCUGAGGUAGGUUGACAUCCCACAUGUUAUGUUUCCCUGACUUUACAAACGUCGAAAUCAUAGUGCCUACCACUCUGUUGACUCUCUCAGUAGGAUUGCUUUGGGGAUGAUAGUUCGGCGUAAACCAUAAUUUGCUAUUGUAUUUCAUCGCCAAAUCCUUAAACAGCUGUGAACAGAACUGACGACCGUUGUCACAUAUGAUAGCUUUAGGUGCACCAUAUAGCAAUAACUGACUUUCCAGUAUAUCGCAUAUUUUUUCUGCCUUUCCGGUCCUUAAUGGAAAGAGAAGCACAAAUUUGCUGAACCAACAUGUAAUCACGAGUAACAUAGUGUUGCCUGAUUUGCUUUUUGGAAAUGGACCCAUCAAGUCUAACGAUAUUAUUUGCCAUGGCCGUGUAACCUCCCUAUGCUCACCCAUGAGUCCUAAUGGGCCUUGCUGCGACACCUUAUGUCUUGCACACGUAUCACAUUUCGUUACAUAUUGCUUCACUUCUUCCCACAAAUUAGGCCAAAAAUAUGUUUGUUUUAUUUUUAGAUACGUCUUACGAAUACCCAAGUGACCAGCCGUCUCAAUGUCAUGACACUCUGCGAAGACCUUACUUCUCAAUGCCUCGGGCACGUACAAUUUCCAAACAUCUUCCUGGCUCGGAAACGAACUUAACUCUAUCCUUUUGUACAACAAUCCAUUCAUGACUUUCCACUCGUGUGAUGUCUUAUUUUGUACUUCCAUUACCUUAGUUCUAUACCAAUCAUCUUUGUGGCGUUCUAAAAUGUCAAUAAUAUUUAUUUCCUGAGUAGUGCUGCAAAUCGAACCCCGUGACAAUGCAUCAGGUACAACGUGGCUUUUGCCAGGCCUCUGUACUAUCUCAAAACUAAACUGCUGCAGUUUCAUGGCCCAUCUUGCUAACCUACCGUGCGGGUCUUUCAUCUUAUGUAACCAUUGCAACGCACUAUGAUCAGUCACAACUGUGAAAUGUACUCCAUCAACAUAUGGCCUAAACUUUUCAAUUGCAAAUACCAUACUCAGCAGUUCUCUUUCGGACGUUGAAUAUUUCUUUUCCCUUUCGUUAAGUUUUCUACUUAAAUACGCGACCGGAAGUUCAACAUCUCCCUGAUUUUGACAUAAAACCGCGCCAAUCCCGCUAUUACUAGCAUCACAUUGGAUAGUAAAGGGUUUAGAAUAAUCCGGGCAUGUCACAACAGGCGUCGUGGUAAGUAAGGUCUUCAUUUUCAAAAAUGCCAUUUCUGCCUCUUUGGUCCAACAUAGUUGUUUCUUCUUUUUCCCUUUUGUAAGGUCAUGGAGCGUAGCAGCUACCAUGGCAAAGUCUUUGACAAAUCUUCUGUACCAACUGGCCAAACCGAUGAAUCGCUUUAACUCUGAGUAAUUUCGUGGCCUAGGAAAGUUAAUGAUUGCUGCCACCUUUUCAGGAUCUGUCCUCAGCCCAUUCUUAUCAACUAUGUACCCUAAAUAUCGUAAGCUCGAGCGGGCAAACUUGCAUUUAUCUACAUUUAUCGUCAAAUUUGCUUUCUUGAGAAUUUCCAACACCUUAUUUAUCAAUUGUAUAUGCUCCUCAAAACUCGUAGAACAAAUAACGAUGUCAUCCAAAUAUGCCCAAACCUUAUCUUCGUUUGACUGAAAGAAUACAUCCAUUAACCUUUGCUGCGUCUGUGAGGCAUUAACGAGUCCAAAUGGCAUGACCUUAAAGUGAAAUAAUCCCUUGCCCCCCACAGCAAAAGCAGUUUUCUCUUUGCUGCUCUCAUCUAACGGAAUCUGCCAAAACGCCGAUCGUAAAUCAAUCGUGCUUAAAAACCUAGCAUUACGUAAACUAUCUAACACGUUCGUUACCCGAGGCAGUGGAUACGUAUCACGUUUUGUUACUCGAUUUAACUGCCUGCUGUCAAGACACAGCCUAUUAUCCCCAUUAGGCUUUUUAACGAUAAGAACUGGUGAGCCCCAUGCACUAUGAGAUGGUUCCACUACAUCAUCCGCUAACAUCUUAUCCAAUUCUUUUAUGAUAUCUGCCUUAACAGUUGAUGAAAAAUUAUAUUGUUUCUGAUGAAUCGGUUUAGCAUCACCAGUAUCAAUACUAUGAGUUAAUAUCGAUGUUCUACCUAACCCAUUACCAAUUUCUAAUCGCAUACGUCUUAUUAUCUGCUCUAAUUCUUUUUUUUGUUCCACGUUUAGAUCUUCACCAGAAACAAUGACCGGUUUAUUCACGGGGACGUCACCUAAAUUCAUUACCUCGUUUUUAUUUCCCCUGAACUGUAAUGAUAUACCAAACUCUUCAAAGAAAUCUUUACCCAAUAUCAUCUGAUGACCAGACCUCGGACAGAGUGUGCCGUUUUUACGUCAUUAAUGUCAAGUGUAGAUGUUAAUAUAGAUAUGCCUCAAGAUGAAAUAUUAAAAAGAAUUCAUGAAUAAUAAUUAAACAAAAAUGACAGUGCAUUAUGUACAAAACGAGUAAGUAUUAUUUAUUUAUUCAAAUUUUUCUUUGUUAUUGGUUAUUGUAAUAAAGAACUAUAAUUUU